UUCUAAUCAAAACCAAUGAUCAACAUUUAUUCUACUUCGACGUAAAGUAUCCUCGUUUUCUUUUAAAUUAUUAGAUUAAAAAUACAUAAUGUUAAAAAAAAAAUAAGAUACUGUUAUAGAAAAGAUUUUUUUUUUUUCAAUUUAUUGUAUGUUCGUUUAUUCUUAUAGAUAUCAUGACUUCAUGAGUAUUUUACCUAGUACUAGAGUCCUAGUCAAACCAAAUAAUCAUACCAUAUAUGUAAUCCAAAGAAGUAUAAUCCACUUUAAUGACAAUUUGUCAAAAUGUACACAUAAG
RNAcentral lists this long non-coding RNA (295 nucleotides) under Capsella rubella. RNAcentral describes it as "long non-coding RNA (CRUB_LNC004393)". The record is from RNAcentral. Lineage: Eukaryota; Viridiplantae; Streptophyta; Magnoliopsida; Brassicales; Brassicaceae.